Molecule: ribosomal RNA, 634 nt
Filed under: uncultured bacterium
Lineage: Bacteria
Description: bacterial SSU rRNA
Rfam family: Bacterial small subunit ribosomal RNA
Source: RNAcentral
GCAUAAGCGCACAGCUUCGCAUGAAGCAGUGUGAAAAACUCUGGUGGUAUACGAUGGAUCCGCGUCUGAUUAGCUAGUUGGCGGGGUAAAGGCCCACCAAGGCGACGAUCAGUAGCCGGCCUGAGAGGGUGAACGGCCACAUUGGGACUGAGACACGGCUCAAACUCCUACGGGAGGCAGCAGUGGGGAAUAUUGCACAAUGGGGGAAACCCUGAUGCAGCGACGCCGCGUGGGUGAAGAAGUAUUUCGGUAUGUAAAGCUCUAUCAGCAGGGAAGAAAAUGACGGUACCUGACUAAGAAGCCCCGGCUAACUACGUGCCAGCAGCCGCGGUAAUACGUAGGGGGCAAGCGUUAUCCGGAUUUACUGGGUGUAAAGGGAGCGUAGACGGCAGCGCAAGUCUGGAGUGAAAUCCCAUGGCUUAACCAUGGAACUGCUUUGGAAACUGUGCAGCUAGAGUGCAGGAGAGGUAAGCGGAAUUCCUAGUGUAGCGGUGAAAUGCGUAGAUAUUAGGAGGGACACCAGUGGCGAAGGCGGCUUACUGGACUGUAACUGACGUUGAGGCUCGAAAGCGUGGGGAGCAAACAGGAUUAGAUACCCUGGUAGUCCACGCUGUAAACGAUGAUUACUAGGUGU